This 213-nucleotide ribosomal RNA is filed under the name Apogon coccineus (ruby cardinalfish). RNAcentral describes it as "partial 16S ribosomal RNA". The record is from RNAcentral. Lineage: Eukaryota; Metazoa; Chordata; Actinopteri; Kurtiformes; Apogonidae.
ACCCAUUAGCUAGCUUACUUACCAAAUCCAACAACCCCCUAUUAAUAACCACUGAAGGCCAACCCCGCCACCAAACAAACCAUUUUUCCCCCUCAGUACGGGCGACAGAACAGGAACUAACAAAGCGACAGUAACAGUACCGCAAGGGAAUGCUGAAAGAGAAUGAAACAAAUCAGUAAAGUAUUAGGAAGCAGAGCUUAAUUCUCGUACUUU